AGAGUUUGAUUAUGGCUCAGGAUGAACGCUGGCGGCGUGCUUAACACAUGCAAGUCGAACGGGCUCAUAUUGAAACCUAGUGAUGUAUGAGUUAGUGGCGGACGGGUGAGUAACGCGUGGAGAACCUGCCGUAUACUGGGGGAUAACACUUAGAAAUAGGUGCUAAUACCGCAUAAGCGCACAGCUUCGCAUGAAGCAGUGUGAAAAACUCCGGUGGUAUACGAUGGAUCCGCGUCUGAUUAGCUGGUUGGCGGGGUAACAGCCCACCAAGGCGACGAUCAGUAGCCGGCCUGAGAGGGUGAACGGCCACAUUGGGACUGAGACACGGCCCAAACUCCUACGGGAGGCAGCAGUGGGGAAUAUUGCACAAUGGGGGAAACCCUGAUGCAGCGACGCCGCGUGAGUGAAGAAGUAUUUCGGUAUGUAAAGCUCUAUCAGCAGGGAAGAAAAUGACGGUACCUGACUAAUAAGCCCCGGCUAACUACGUGCCAGCAGCCGCCGUAAUACGUACGGGGCAAGCGUUAUCCGGAUUUACUGGGU
Molecule: ribosomal RNA, 540 nt
Filed under: uncultured bacterium
Lineage: Bacteria
Description: bacterial SSU rRNA
Rfam family: Bacterial small subunit ribosomal RNA
Source: RNAcentral